UUGGAUGCUUUGAUAGUUUGUGUC
This 24-nucleotide non-coding RNA is filed under the name Arabidopsis thaliana (thale cress). The record is from RNAcentral. Lineage: Eukaryota; Viridiplantae; Streptophyta; Magnoliopsida; Brassicales; Brassicaceae.